Molecule: ribosomal RNA, 267 nt
Filed under: uncultured bacterium
Lineage: Bacteria
Description: partial 16S ribosomal RNA
Rfam family: Bacterial small subunit ribosomal RNA
Source: RNAcentral
GAUGAACGCUAGCGGCAGGCCUAAUACAUGCAAGUCGAACGGUAACAUGAGUAGCAAUACUUGAUGACGAGUGGCGCACGGGUGCGUAACGCGUAUGCAAUCUACCUUUAACUGGUGAAUAGCCCGAAGAAAUUCGGAUUAACACACCAUAGUAUAUUUGAAUGGCAUCAUUUAAAUAUUAAAACUCCGGUGGUUAAAGAUGAGCAUGCGUGACAUAGCUAGUUGGUGAGGUAAUGGCUCACCAAGGCUACGAUGUCUAGGGGAUCU